GACGGUACCUGAAGAAAAAGCAUCGGCUAACUCCGUGCCAGCAGCCGCGGUAAUACGGAGGAUGCAAGCGUUAUCCGUAGUCAUUGGGCGUAAAGGGUCCGCAGGUGGCCAAUCAAGUCGGCUGUUAAAGACCGGGGCUUAACUCCGGGCAGGCAGUGGAAACUGAUUAGCUAGAGUACGGUAGGGGUAGAGGGAAUUCCCAGUGUAGCGGUGAAAUGCGUAGAUAUUGGGAAGAACACCGGUGGCGAAAGCGCUCUACUAGGCCGAAACUGACACUGAGGGACGAAAGCUAGGGUAGCGAAAGGGAUUAGAUACCCCUGUAGUCUUAGCUGUAAACGAUGGAUACUAGGUGUAGCUCGUAUCGACCCCAGCUGUGCCAAAGUUAACGCGAUAAGUAUCCCGCCUGGGGAGUACGCACGCAAGUGUGAAACUCAAAGGAAUUGACGGGGGCCCGCACAAGCGGUGGAGUAUGUGGUUUAAUUCGAUGCAACGCGAAGAACCUUACCAGGGCUUGACAUGUCGCGAAUCUAGCGGAAACGUUAGAGUGCCUUAGGGAAUGCGAACACAGGUGGUGCAUGGCUGUCGUCAGCUCGUGUCGUGAGAUGUUGGGUUAAGUCCCGCAACGAGCGCAACCCUCGUCCUUAGUUGCCAAUAUUAAGUUAGGCACUCUAGGGAUACUGCCGGGGACAACUCGGAGGAAGGUGGGGAUGACGUCAAGUCAGCAUGCCCCUUACGUCCUGGGCGACACACGUACUACAAUGGUUGGGACAAAGGGCAGCAAGCUCGCGAGAGUAAGCGAAUCUCAUCAAACCCAGCCACAGUUCAGAUUGCAGGCUGCAACUCGCCUGCAUGAAGUAGGAAUCGCUAGUAAUCGCAGGUCAGCAUACUGCGGUGAAUUCGUUCCCGGGCCUUGUACACACCGCCCGUCACACCAUGGAAGCUGGCUACGCCCGAAGUCGUUACCCUAACCCUAAGGGGAGGGGGAUGCCGAAGGUAGAGCUAGUGACUGGGGUGAAGUCGUAACAAGGUAGCCGUACCUGAAGGUGUGGCUGGAUCACCUCCUUU
Molecule: ribosomal RNA, 1065 nt
Filed under: uncultured cyanobacterium
Lineage: Bacteria; Bacillati; Cyanobacteriota
Description: bacterial SSU rRNA
Rfam family: Bacterial small subunit ribosomal RNA
Source: RNAcentral